Molecule: ribosomal RNA, 456 nt
Filed under: Bacillus sp. (in: firmicutes)
Lineage: Bacteria; Bacillati; Bacillota; Bacilli; Caryophanales; Bacillaceae
Description: bacterial SSU rRNA
Rfam family: Bacterial small subunit ribosomal RNA
Source: RNAcentral
GGCUCAGGACGAACGCUGGCGGCGUGCCUAAUACAUGCAAGUCGAGCGGACAGAAGGGAGCUUGCUCCCGGAUGUUAGCGGCGGACGGGUGAGUAACACGUGGGUAACCUGCCUGUAAGACUGGGAUAACUCCGGGAAACCGGAGCUAAUACCGGAUAGUUCCUUGAACCGCAUGGUUCAAGGAUGAAAGACGGUUUCGGCUGUCACUUACAGAUGGACCCGCGGCGCAUUAGCUAGUUGGUGGGGUAAUGGCUCACCAAGGCGACGAUGCGUAGCCGACCUGAGAGGGUGAUCGGCCACACUGGGACUGAGACACGGCCCAGACUCCUACGGGAGGCAGCAGUAGGGAAUCUUCCGCAAUGGACGAAAGUCUGACGGAGCAACGCCGCGUGAGUGAUGAAGGUUUUCGGAUCGUAAAGCUCUGUUGUUAGGGAAGAACAAGUGCGAGAGUAACUG